Molecule: ribosomal RNA, 939 nt
Filed under: uncultured bacterium
Lineage: Bacteria
Description: bacterial SSU rRNA
Rfam family: Bacterial small subunit ribosomal RNA
Source: RNAcentral
AGAGUUUGAUCCUGGCUCAGNAAUCAACGCUGGCGGCGUGCCUCAGACAUGCAAGUCGAACGCGAAAUUUCCCUUCGGGGAGAAAGUAGAGUGGCGCACGGGUGAGUAACACGUAGGUAAUUUGCCUUUGGGUGGGGAAUAACUCAGGGAAACUUGAGCUAAUACCGCAUAAUGCAGCGGCUCGACAUCGAGACAGUUGUUAAAGCGGGGGAUUGGAGCAAUCCGACCUCGCGCCUGAAGAGAAGCCUGCGGCAGAUUAGCUAGUUGGUAAGGUAAUGGCUUACCAAGGCGACGAUCUGUAACCGGCCUGAGAGGGCGGUCGGUCACACUGACACUGACAUACGGGUCAGACUCCUACGGGAGGCAGCAGUCGGGAAUUUUGGGCAAUGGGCGAAAGCCUGACCCAGCAACGCCGCGUGAAGGAUGAAAUUUUUCGGAAUGUAAACUUCGCAAGAAUGGGAAGAAUAAGUGGGGGACAAUACCCCCCAUGAUGACGGUACCAUUUGUAAGCUCCGGCUAACUUCGUGCCAGCAGCCGCGGUAAUACGAGGGGAGCAAGCGUUGUUCGGAUUUACUGGGCGUAAAGGGCGCGUAGGCGGCUCUACAAGUCACUUGUGAAAUCUCCGGGCUUAACUCGGAACGGUCAAGUGAUACUGUCGAGCUAGAGUGCAGAAGGGGCAAUUGGAAUUCUCGGUGUAGCGGUGAAAUGCGUAGAUAUCGAGAGGAACACCAGAGGCGAAAGGCGGAUUGCUGGGCUGACACUGACGCUGAGGCGCGAAAGCUAGGGGAGCGAACGGGAUUAGAUACCCCGGUAGUCCUAGCCUUAAACGAUGAAUGCUUGGUGUCUCGGGUUACAUAGUCCCGGGGUGCCGUCGCUAACGCUUUUAGCAUUCCGCCUGGGGAGUACGCACGCAAGUGUGAAACUCAAAGGAAUUGACGG